CGAAGAGAGAAGUUGGGAAAAAGACUUUCUCCUGAGGGUUAUCUACUUUUCCUGCUGGUGACUGGAAAUCUUUCCCCCCAACACUUCCCAAUUGAAGGGACUUCUGAAGAGAAACCUGAGCAGAAUUUACCUCAGCUCCUGUUGCCCAGGGGUUUUCCAGUAUCCCUUGGAACACAUCUCCUUUUGAAACAGAAACCCAGAAGAAGGCUCAGACAUGAUUCAUGUCUAGCACUCUACAAUGGCGCAGGCAUCCUGAACAAGAAGAUUCCAUCUAAAAUCCACACAUUCAGACAUGCAUGCACAAUUAUAGCUUUUAUUAAAAAAAUACUCUGCUUUUUUAUAUUGCUUUCUCUUCCCAGUCACCUCUUUCCUCCCUUUCCUGUAAUUUUUUUUGAACCCCUUACCUUCUGUCUCAGAAUCCGUUAUAAGUAUCAGUUCUGAGAUAGAAGAGAGAUAAGGGAUAGGCAAUGAAGAUUAAGUGACUCGUUCAGGGUCACACAGCCAGGCAGUAUCUGAGUCAAAAUCUGAACCCAGUAUAUCCCAUCUCCAGACCUGGGUCUCUAUCCAUUGAGUUUGCCUAGUUGCCCCUACAAUUUUCUUUUUAAACUAAAGAGUUAAGCAAAACAAACUUUAAACCAGAUACAACUCCAACAGAAAGCACACACAACAAUGGACCCAGAGGAAGGAAGUGGGUUUUAUUGUUGGUUCUCUGAACUGACCAGAGCCACAACAAUAAUAAUAAUGAGAGAUAGUUCUUUAAAGUUUAUAAAACACUUUACAUUCACUAUUUCAUUUGAACAAGAUUAUACAUAAUUUAAAUUCUGGUGGGUUUCCCCCAACCCCUUUCUUUUAGUGGUAUUGAGGUCAUUUGUGUGUGCUGUGCUCCCAGAAUGCAAAUCCUUUAGCCUAGGGCCAAGGGUAGAAUUAAGGAAAUAAGGGGAUACCAUAAAAAAUCGAUUCCACAUUCCGAUCUCAAAUGUCAGCUUCCAUUGUGCCUUGUGCUAUUAAAGUCACUUCUGAAUUGUUAGAAGGAACCUGUUUUGGAAGUGGAAUGUAAUUCAUUCCAUCAUUUCCUCCACACAUUAAGUUUUCACUGUAAUGCCCUAUUUUACCCAACCACCUCCGUUAGAGGCUAUUAAACCUUCACUUCCCACUACAGUCUAUUAGGCCCCAUUACAUACAUCCCAGAUAUGAAAGAUCUUGGUAUUAAAUGCAAAAUUCCUGCUUCGAAAGCAGUUUCUUUCCACUUAUUAUGCUAAGGCUGCUUCCCUAAAUCUCUUCUCCAUGUCUUUAAAAUAGAAAGUGGAAAGAGAUCGGUUGAUUGGAAACAGCUACUGGAAUUCUUUUUAAAGAAAACAACAUUUUAUUGAUUUUUUUCUUGCUGUUUUCAUUUCCCAAUAUUCUCUUUACCCCCAUUAAACCAUUCUUUGUAAUAAAGAUAAACGAUUAAGUCA
This 1454-nucleotide long non-coding RNA is filed under the name Monodelphis domestica (gray short-tailed opossum). Its description in RNAcentral is "lncRNA (ENSMODG00000047580.1)". The record is from RNAcentral. Lineage: Eukaryota; Metazoa; Chordata; Mammalia; Didelphimorphia; Didelphidae.